GUGGGGAAUAUUGCACAAUGGGGGGAACCCUGAUGCAGCCAUGCCGCGUGAAUGAAGAAGGCCUUCGGGUUGUAAAGUUCUUUCGGUGACGAGGAAGGUUGGUAUGUUAAUAGCAUAUCAAAUUGACGUUAAUCACAGAAGAAGCACCGGCUAACUCCGUGCCAGCAGCCGCGGUAAUACGGGGGGUGCGAGCGUUAAUCGGAAUAACUGGGCGUAAAGGGCACGCAGGCGGUGACUUAAGUGAGAUGUGAAAGCCCCGGGCUUAACCUGGGAAUUGCAUUUCAUACUGGGUCGCUAGAGUACUUUAGGGAGGGGUAGAAUUCCACGUGUAGCGGUGAAAUGCGUAGAGAUGUGGAGGAAUACCGAAGGCGAAGGCAGCCCCUUGGGAAUGUACUGACGCUCAUGUGCGAAAGCGUGGGGAGCAAACAGG
Molecule: ribosomal RNA, 430 nt
Filed under: uncultured bacterium
Lineage: Bacteria
Description: bacterial SSU rRNA
Rfam family: Bacterial small subunit ribosomal RNA
Source: RNAcentral